Molecule: non-coding RNA, 87 nt
Filed under: Paenibacillus polymyxa
Lineage: Bacteria; Bacillati; Bacillota; Bacilli; Caryophanales; Paenibacillaceae
Description: Glycine riboswitch
Rfam family: Glycine riboswitch aptamer (bases 7-84)
About the family: This family represents the bacterial glycine riboswitch. Glycine riboswitches usually consist of two metabolite-binding aptamers domains with similar structures in tandem.
Source: RNAcentral
ACGCAACUCUGGAGAGAGCGCAAGCCACCCAAGGGGUAAGGCGGUAAGUACACCGCACGAAACUCUCAGGUAACGAGGACAGAGAUA